RNAcentral lists this ribosomal RNA (837 nucleotides) under Klebsiella ornithinolytica. Its description in RNAcentral is "bacterial SSU rRNA". It matches the Rfam family "Bacterial small subunit ribosomal RNA", at positions 72 to 905 of the family's 1533-position model. Lineage: Bacteria; Pseudomonadati; Pseudomonadota; Gammaproteobacteria; Enterobacterales; Enterobacteriaceae. The record is from RNAcentral.
CAGAGAGCUUGCUCUCGGGUGACGAGCGGCGGACGGGUGAGUAAUGUCUGGGAAACUGCCUGAUGGAGGGGGAUAACUACUGGAAACGGUAGCUAAUACCGCAUAACGUCGCAAGACCAAAGUGGGGGACCUUCGGGCCUCAUGCCAUCAGAUGUGCCCAGAUGGGAUUAGCUAGUAGGUGGGGUAAUGGCUCACCUAGGCGACGAUCCCUAGCUGGUCUGAGAGGAUGACCAGCCACACUGGAACUGAGACACGGUCCAGACUCCUACGGGAGGCAGCAGUGGGGAAUAUUGCACAAUGGGCGCAAGCCUGAUGCAGCCAUGCCGCGUGUAUGAAGAAGGCCUUCGGGUUGUAAAGUACUUUCAGCGAGGAGGAAGGCAUUAAGUUAAUAACCUUAGUGAUUGACGUUACUCGCAGAAGAAGCACCGGCUAACUCCGUGCCAGCAGCCGCGGUAAUACGGAGGGUGCAAGCGUUAAUCGGAAUUACUGGGCGUAAAGCGCACGCAGGCGGUCUGUUAAGUCAGAUGUGAAAUCCCCGGGCUCAACCUGGGAACUGCAUUUGAAACUGGCAGGCUUGAGUCUUGUAGAGGGGGGUAGAAUUCCAGGUGUAGCGGUGAAAUGCGUAGAGAUCUGGAGGAAUACCGGUGGCGAAGGCGGCCCCCUGGACCAAGACUGACGCUCAGGUGCGAAAGCGGGGGAGCCAACAGGAUUAGAUACCCUGGUAGUCCACGCUGUUAACGAUGUCAACUUGGAGGUUGUUCCCUUGAGGAGUGGCUUCCGGAGCUUAACGCGUUAGUCGACCGCCUGGGGAGAACGGCCGCAAGGUUAAACUCCAAU